RNAcentral lists this ribosomal RNA (209 nucleotides) under uncultured bacterium. RNAcentral describes it as "partial 16S ribosomal RNA". It matches the Rfam family "Bacterial small subunit ribosomal RNA", at positions 123 to 334 of the family's 1533-position model. The record is from RNAcentral.
AACCUGCUCUGAGAGUGGGAUAGCUUCUGGAAACGGAUGGUAAUACCGCAUAACAUAGCGAAACCGCAUGAUUUUGCUAUCAAAGUAUUUCGCUCAGAGAUGGCCUCGCGUCUGAUUAGAUAGUUGGUGAGGUAACGGCUCACCAAGUCGACGAUCAGUAGCCGGACUGAGAGGUUGAACGGCCACAUUGGGACUGAGACACGGCCCAG